GUGAAUCAUCGAAUUUUUGAACGCAAAUUGCACUCUCUUCGGAGAGUAUGCCUGUUUGAGGGUCAGUAUUAAUAAAAAUCGGUGUGUUGUGUCUUUGUGACGCUCCGGAGUUUGGGUCAUCUUAAUAUAUCCUUUAGGUGUUAAGAGGCUUAAAAUUGACUUUGUUUUGCGCAUUUUAUUAGAGGUCCAUAACUUUUUUUUUUAUUCGUCUAUUCUUAAUCCCAAAAUCUUAUUAGAUGCGAUCACAUCGUGUGGCUUCGUUUCCAUAAAUUAUUAAGUAUUUGACCUCAAAUCAGGUAGG
This 301-nucleotide unclassified non-coding RNA is filed under the name Rhizophagus sp. (in: glomeromycetes). RNAcentral describes it as "partial contains 5.8S ribosomal RNA and internal transcribed spacer 2". The stretch from base 1 to 65 matches the Rfam family "5.8S ribosomal RNA", at positions 84 to 154 of the family's 154-position model. The record is from RNAcentral. Lineage: Eukaryota; Fungi; Glomeromycota; Glomeromycetes; Glomerales; Glomeraceae.